GACGGAGGAUGCAAGCGUUAUCCGGAAUUAUUGGGCGUAAAGCGUUCGUAGGUGGCUGUUCAAGUCUGCCGUUAAAGACCGGGGCUUAACUCCGGAAAAACUGUGGAAACUGAACAGCUAGAGUAUGGUAGGGGUAAGGGGAAUUCCCGGUGUAGCGGUGAAAUGCGUAGAUAUCGGGAAGAACACCGGUGGCGAAGGCGCCUUACUGGGCCAUAACUGACACUGAGGGACGAAAGCUAGGGGAGCGAAAGGGAUUAGAAACCCUGUAGUCC
Molecule: ribosomal RNA, 272 nt
Filed under: uncultured prokaryote
Description: partial 16S ribosomal RNA
Rfam family: Bacterial small subunit ribosomal RNA
Source: RNAcentral